RNAcentral lists this non-coding RNA (148 nucleotides) under Homo sapiens (human). Lineage: Eukaryota; Metazoa; Chordata; Mammalia; Primates; Hominidae. The record is from Rfam by way of RNAcentral.
GCUGGGCAUGGUGGCGCGUGCCUGUAAUCCCAGCUCCUCAGGAGGCUGAGACAUAAGAAUUGCUUGAACCCAGGAGGCGGAGGUUGCAGUGAGCUGAGAUCAUACCACUGUACUCCAGCCUGGGCAACAGAGCGAGACUCUGUCUCAA